RNAcentral lists this ribosomal RNA (1001 nucleotides) under human gut metagenome. RNAcentral describes it as "bacterial LSU rRNA". It matches the Rfam family "Bacterial large subunit ribosomal RNA", at positions 1926 to 2925 of the family's 2925-position model. The record is from RNAcentral.
AACGGCGGCCGUAACUAUAACGGUCCUAAGGUAGCGAAAUUCCUUGUCAGGUAAGUUCUGACCCGCACGAAAGGCGUAACGAUUUGGGCGCUGUCUCGGCAGCAGACUCGGUGAAAUCUUAGUACCUGUGAAAAUGCAGGUUACCCGCAACUAGACGGAAAGACCCCAUGGAGCUUUACUGUAGCCUGAUAUUGAAUUUUGAUCAAAGAUGUACAGGAUAGGUGGGAGGCGAAGAGACGUGUACGCCAGUAUACGAGGAGCCGAUGUUGGGAUACCACUCUUGUUUGAUUGAAGUUCUAACCUGCACCCAUAAGCUGGGUGAGGGACCGUGUCAGGUGGGCAGUUUGACUGGGGCGGUCGCCUCCUAAAGAGUAACGGAGGCGCCCAAAGGUACGCUCAGAUUGGAUGGAAAUCAAUCGACGAGUGCAAAUGCAGAAGCGUGCUUGACUGUGAGACAGACAAGUCGAACAGGGACGAAAGUCGGGAUUAGUGAUCCGGCGGUGCCGAAUGGAAGGGCCGUCGCUCAACGGAUAAAAGCUACCCUGGGGAUAACAGGCUGAUCUCGCCCAAGAGUUCACAUCGACGGCGAGGUUUGGCACCUCGAUGUCGGCUCAUCGCAUCCUGGAGCUGAAUUCGGUUCCAAGGGUUGGGCUGUCCGCCCAUUAAAGCGGUACGCGAGCUGGGUUCAGAACGUCGUGAGACAGUUCGGUCCCUAUCUGUUGUGGGCGUUGGAGAUCUGAGGAGAGCUGUCCUUAGUACGAGAGGACCGGGAUGGACCUACCGCUGGUGCACCAGUUGUUCCGCCAGGAGCAUAGCUGGGUAGCUAAGUAGGGAAGGGAUAAGCGCUGAAAGCAUCUAAGCGCGAAGCCUACUCCAAGAUGAGAUCUCCCAUUCGUCAAACGAAGUAAGACCCCUUGAAGACGACGAGGUAGAUAGGUCAGAGAUGGAAGUGUAGCGAUACAUGGAGUUGACUGAUACUAAUAGGUCGAGGACUUAAUCAC